UACGAAGGGGGCUAGCGUUGCUCGGAAUCACUGGGCGUAAAGCGCACGUAGGCGGCUUCUUAAGUCAGGGGUGAAAUCCUGGAGCUCAACUCCAGAACUGCCUUUGGUACUAAGGAGCUUGAGUCCGGGAGAGGUGAGUGGAACUGCGAGUGUAGAGGUGAAAUUCGUAGAUAUUCGCAAGAACACCAGUGGCGAAGGCGGCUCACUGGCCCGGUACUGACGCUGAGGUGCGAAAGCGUGGGGAGCAAACAGG
This 253-nucleotide ribosomal RNA is filed under the name uncultured bacterium. RNAcentral's name for it is "partial 16S ribosomal RNA". It matches the Rfam family "Bacterial small subunit ribosomal RNA", at positions 524 to 776 of the family's 1533-position model. The record is from RNAcentral.